CUUCACCUUCUCGUUCUCGAUGUCCAACAUUUUCUGCUGCAGAGCCGACUUGGUCACUUCGAUGGACUCCAGCCACUGGAAGAGCAGACAGAGGCAGUCAGUUGAAGUUGGAGCCUUUGGACCAAAGGUUUCUCACCUUUUCUGCCAGAGUGAGCACCGUCCUUGCAUGGAUCACGGUCACCUGCUCCUCAUUGGACAAAUUCUACAAGAAAAAACCAGCAGUGAACAAUGAAGACCAAACCAAGGCGGGAUGGACCAGAGACUCAGUUGACCCAGUUGUCCAGCAGGGACAUUAUGGUCCUGAAACUUUGGGGGCUUAGCCAGGCCACGGCCAGUUGAAUUUGAAUAUAAGAGUAGAAUAAAGGUUAUUUCAUGUUCAAAUGUUAAAAUGAUACAGAUCAUGCUGCUGAGUCUGAGUUCAGAGUCUAUAGGCCUGGUUCUGUGGAAUCGGCUCAGUUCUGCUGGUUGUCCUGCAGUCUGAACUGACUUCUCUGCCUGAGAAGAAAAUCUAACAUGACAUGAUUGUAGAGCAGAAACACAAGAGGACAUGGCUUAUGCAGUCACUCUGCUGCUGCGCCACAGAGGCACAUAUUGUUUUUUUUUAAUUUUGAAGAGUUCAUGGUGGUGGGGUUUAUGCUGUGAACUUACUGUUGGAAUACUUACAAUAAAGCAUAACAAUACUUUUAGGUAUGUGCUCUGUGUUUUUAAAUUUGGUCCUUUAUGGGAUCCCAGGAUGUUCAAAAAACAUCCAUGACUUAAAUCCUGAAAGCUCAGGUGUGUUGGUGUAGUAUGAGCAAUAAAACCGAAACGUUCAGCCCUUCAGAACCAAAGGAGACAAAACCAGCUUCCUCUGUCUGGUGACCACAGCGACCAACUGGGAGCCUCCAACAAACCAGUAACCGGUGAGACAGACCCGAGUCCCCAGAACUGGUUCUGAGAUCAGUGGGAUUAUUUCUUUUCAUUCUGUCAUCAGUGAUGUAACAUAAGAUAACAAAUUUGUAGUUUUACUUAAUGCGUUAGACAAAGUUCUAACGAGUUAAACAUGGGCACACACAGAUCUGAUGGUUAUAUUUAGCACAUACAUGUACAAGAUAAAUUC
This is a long non-coding RNA of Gambusia affinis (western mosquitofish), 1099 nucleotides long. RefSeq lists it as uncharacterized. The transcript has 3 exons. The record is from RefSeq and is a predicted model, not a curated record. Lineage: Eukaryota; Metazoa; Chordata; Actinopteri; Cyprinodontiformes; Poeciliidae.